RNAcentral lists this unclassified non-coding RNA (294 nucleotides) under uncultured fungus. Its description in RNAcentral is "sequence contains ITS1". The record is from RNAcentral. Lineage: Eukaryota; Fungi.
GGACUACUCGGGUUUCUAAUCCUGUUUGCUCCCCACGCUUUCGUGCAUGAGCGUCAGUGUUGACCCAGGGGGCUGCCUUCGCCAUCGGUGUUCCUCCACAUCUCUACGCAUUUCACUGCUACACGUGGAAUUCCACCCCCCUCUGCCACACUCAAGCCCGCUAGUUUCAAGCGCAAUUCCCAGGUUAAGCCCGGGGAUUUCACACCUGACUUGGCGAACCGCCUGCGCACGCUUUACGCCCAGUAAUUCCGAUUAACGCUCGCACCCUACGUAUUACCGCGGCGGCUGGCACUG